UUUGGGUUGUAAAGCUCUUUCGUCGGGGAAGAAAAUGACUGUACCCGAAUAAGAAGGUCCGGCUAACUUCGUGCCAGCAGCCGCGGUAAUACGAAGGGACCUAGCGUAGUUCGGAAUUACUGGGCUUAAAGAGUUCGUAGGUGGUUAAAAAAGUUGGUGGUGAAAUCCCAGAGCUUAACUCUGGAACUGCCAUCAAAACUUUUUAGCUAGAGUAUGAUAGAGGAAAGCAGAAUUUCUAGUGUAGAGGUGAAAUUCGUAGAUAUUAGAAAGAAUACCAAUUGCGAAGGCAGCUUUCUGGAUCAUUACUGACACUGAGGAACGAAAGCAUGGGUAGCGAAGAGGAUUAGAUACCCUCGUAGUCCAUGCUGUAAACGAUGUGUGUUAGACGUUGGAAAUUUAUUUUCAGUGUCGCAGCGAAAGCGAUAAACACACCGCCUGGGGAGUACGACCGCAAGGUUAAAACUCAAAUGAAUUGACGGGGACCCGCACAAGUAGUGGAGCAUGUGGUUUAAUUCGAAGAUACGCGCAGAACCUUACCAACACUUGACAUGUUCGUCGCGACUCUAAGAGAUUAGAGUUUUCGGUUCGGCCGGACGAAACACAGGUGCUGCAUGGCUGUCGUCAGCUCGUGUCGUGAGAUGUUGGGUUAAGUCCCGCAACGAGCGCAACCCUCACUUUUAGUUGCCAUCAUUUAGUUGGGCACUCUGAAAGAACUGCCAGUGAUAAGCUGGAGGAAGGUGGGGAUGACGUCAAGUCCUCAUGGCCCUUACGUGUUGGGCUACACACGUGCUACAAUGGCAUUUACAAUAGGAAGCAAGAUGGCGACGUCGAGCAAAUCCUAAAAAUAUGC
Molecule: ribosomal RNA, 850 nt
Filed under: marine metagenome
Description: bacterial SSU rRNA
Rfam family: Bacterial small subunit ribosomal RNA
Source: RNAcentral